CCAUCUUGAUUUUAUACUUUUUAUCGUGUUCUCUAAUAUGUUCAACUAGAUUUCCUCUAAUGCAUCCUUCUUCUUCAGGAAUAUAAUUUACCUGGCUGUCCUGUCCUCUUGGAAGCUGCUCCACACAAGAGCUUCUUUGUACGGAGAAGGCCCUUCAACAGCCUGGAACGCUAGGCAGCUCAUUACUACCCUCUCGUGGUCAGAACAGGUCAGCACCGGAUCUAGCUAAACAGCUUGCUCAGGACAUCCUGAAAGCCAAGGUCAACCCCAACAGGCUGACUUCUGGCCUACCCACCGCAGUCAGUGUGCUGCACACCAGCAUCAGUGGUUCAGCAUCCCACUCCCAAACAGGCCAUGACCCAGGCUUAGCCAGGCUGAGCCUAAUGAUUGCAAAUCUGGCCAAUGCUGUCUACUCCAAGCCAGAGGCUCCCAGAAGAUGCCCUUUUCCAACUGCCAAAGCAGAAUGAUGGAGAGCUCUCCGGUCCGCCAGAGAGCACUGAUGGUCAGGACUGGGCCUGGAGAUGGCAUAGAGCAGG
Molecule: long non-coding RNA, 536 nt
Filed under: Marmota monax (woodchuck)
Lineage: Eukaryota; Metazoa; Chordata; Mammalia; Rodentia; Sciuridae
Source: RNAcentral